GAUGAAGAACGUAGCGAAAUGCGAUAAGUAAUGUGAAUUGCAGAAUUCAGUGAAUCAUCGAAUCUUUGAACGCACAUUGCGCCCCUUGGUAUUCCGAGGGGCAUGCCUGUUCGAGCGUCAUUAUAACCCCUCAAGCUCAGCUUGGUGUUGGGGCCUGCUGCACUGGCAGCCCUUAAAAUCAGUGGCGGCGCCAUCUGGCUCUAAGCGUAGUAAUUCUUCUCGCUAUGGAGUCCUGGUGGAUGCUUGCCAUCAACCCCCAAUUUUUCUAUGGUUGACCUCGGAUCAGGUAGGGAUACCCGCUGAACUUAAGCAUACCAAUAAGCGGAGGA
RNAcentral lists this unclassified non-coding RNA (329 nucleotides) under soil metagenome. Its description in RNAcentral is "partial contains 5.8S ribosomal RNA, internal transcribed spacer 2, and large subunit ribosomal RNA". The stretch from base 1 to 120 matches the Rfam family "5.8S ribosomal RNA", at positions 35 to 154 of the family's 154-position model. The record is from RNAcentral.